RNAcentral lists this ribosomal RNA (253 nucleotides) under uncultured bacterium. RNAcentral's name for it is "partial 16S ribosomal RNA". It matches the Rfam family "Bacterial small subunit ribosomal RNA", at positions 524 to 776 of the family's 1533-position model. The record is from RNAcentral.
UACGGAGGGGGCUAGCGUUGUUCGGAAUUACUGGGCGUAAAGCGCGCGUAGGCGGACCUGCAAGUCGGGGGGGAAAGCCCGAGGCUCAACCUCGGAACUGCCUUCGAUACUGCGGGUCUCGAGUCCGGAAGAGGUGAGUGGAACUCCGAGUGUAGAGGUGAAAUUCGUAGAUAUUCGGAAGACCCCCAGUGGCUAAGGCGGCUCACUGGUCCGGUACUGACGCUGAGGUGCGAAAGCGUGGGGAGCAAACAGG